GGUUAAGCGACUAAGCGUACACGGUGGAUGCCCUGGCAGUCAGAGGCGAUGAAGGACGUGCUAAUCUGCGAAAAGCGUCGGUAAGGUGAUAUGAACCGUUAUAACCGGCGAUGUCCGAAUGGGGAAACCCAGUGUGUUCCGACACACUAUCAUUAACUGAAUCCAUAGGUUAAUGAGGCGAACCGGGGGAACUGAAACAUCUAAGUACCCCGAGGAAAAGAAAUCAACCGAGAUUCCCCCAGUAGCGGCGAGCGAACGGGGAGGAGCCCAGAGCCUGAAUCAGUGUGUGUGUUAGUGGAAGCGUCUGGAAAGGCGCGCGAUACAGGGUGACAGCCCCGUACACAAAAAUGCACAUGCUGUGAGCUCGAAGAGUAGGGCGGGACACGUGGUAUCCUGUCUGAAUAUGGGGGGACCAUCCUCCAAGGCUAAAUACUCCUGACUGACCGAUAGUGAACCAGUACCGUGAGGGAAAGGCGAAAAGAACCCCGGCGAGGGGAGUGAAAAAGAACCUGAAACCGUGUACGUACAAGCAGUGGGAGCCUCUUAAUGGGGUGACUGCGUACCUUUUGUAUAAUGGGUCAGCGACUUAUAUUCUGUAGCAAGGUUAACCGAAUAGGGGAGCCGGAGGGAAACCGAGUCUUAACUGGGCGUUAAGUUGCAGGGUAUAGACCCGAAACCCGGUGAUCUAGCCAUGGGCAGGUUGAAGGUUGGGUAACACUAACUGGAGGACCGAACCGACUAAUGUUGAAAAAUUAGCGGAUGACUUGUGGCUGGGGGUGAAAGGCCAAUCAAACCGGGAGAUAGCUGGUUCUCCCCGAAAGCUAUUUAGGUAGCGCCUCGUGAAUUCAUCUCCGGGGGUAGAGCACUGUUUCGGCAAGGGGGUCAUCCCGACUUACCAACCCGAUGCAAACUGCGAAUACCGGAGAAUGUUAUCACGGGAGACACACGGCGGGUGCUAACGUCCGUCGUGAAGAGGGAAACAACCCAGACCGCCAGCUAAGGUCCCAAAGUCAUGGUUAAGUGGGAAACGAUGUGGGAAGGCCCAGACAGCCAGGAUGUUGGCUUAGAAGCAGCCAUCAUUUAAAGAAAGCGUAAUAGCUCACUGGUCGAGUCGGCCUGCGCGGAAGAUGUAACGGGGCUAAACCAUGCACCGAAGCUGCGGCAGCGACGCUGAUGCGUUGUUGGGUAGGGGAGCGUUCUGUAAGCCUGUGAAGGUGUGCUGUGAGGCAUGCUGGAGGUAUCAGAAGUGCGAAUGCUGACAUAAGUAACGAUAAAGCGGGUGAAAAGCCCGCUCGCCGGAAGACCAAGGGUUCCUGUCCAACGUUAAUCGGGGCAGGGUGAGUCGACCCCUAAGGCGAGGCCGAAAGGCGUAGUCGAUGGGAAACAGGUUAAUAUUCCUGUACUUGGUGUUACUGCGAAGGGGGGACGGAGAAGGCUAUGUUGGCCGGGCGACGGUUGUCCCGGUUUAAGCGUGUAGGCUGGUUUUCCAGGCAAAUCCGGAGAAUCAAGGCUGAGGCGUGAUGACGAGGCACUACGGUGCUGAAGCAACAAAUGCCCUGCUUCCAGGAAAAGCCUCUAAGCAUCAGGUAGCAUCAAAUCGUACCCCAAACCGACACAGGUGGUCAGGUAGAGAAUACCAAGGCGCUUGAGAGAACUCGGGUGAAGGAACUAGGCAAAAUGGUGCCGUAACUUCGGGAGAAGGCACGCUGAUGGUAGGUGAAGCGACUUGCUCGUGGAGCUGAAAUCAGUCGAAGAUACCAGCUGGCUGCAACUGUUUAUUAAAAACACAGCACUGUGCAAACACGAAAGUGGACGUAUACGGUGUGACGCCUGCCCGGUGCCGGAAGGUUAAUUGAUGGGGUCAGCGCAAGCGAAGCUCUUGAUCGAAGCCCCGGUAAACGGCGGCCGUAACUAUAACGGUCCUAAGGUAGCGAAAUUCCUUGUCGGGUAAGUUCCGACCUGCACGAAUGGCGUAAUGAUGGCCAGGCUGUCUCCACCCGAGACUCAGUGAAAUUGAACUCGCUGUGAAGAUGCAGUGUACCCGCGGCAAGACGGAAAGACCCCGUGAACCUUUACUAUAGCUUGACACUGAACACUGGUCCUUGAUGUGUAGGAUAGGUGGGAGGCUUUGAAGUGUGGACGCCAGUCUGCAUGGAGCCGUCCUUGAAAUACCACCCUUUAAUGGCUGGUGUUCUAACGUUGGCCCCUUACCGGGGUUGCGGACAGUGUCUGGUGGGUAGUUUGACUGGGGCGGUCUCCUCCUAAAGAGUAACGGAGGAGCACGAAGGUUGGCUAAUCCUGGUCGGACAUCAGGAGGUUAGUGCAAUGGCAUAAGCCAGCUUGACUGCGAGCGUGACGGCGCGAGCAGGUGCGAAAGCAGGUCAUAGUGAUCCGGUGGUUCUGAAUGGAAGGGCCAUCGCUCAACGGAUAAAAGGUACUCCGGGGAUAACAGGCUGAUACCGCCCAAGAGUUCAUAUCGACGGCGGUGUUUGGCACCUCGAUGUCGGCUCAUCACAUCCUGGGGCUGAAGUAGGUCCCAAGGGUAUGGCUGUUCGCCAUUUAAAGUGGUACGCGAGCUGGGUUUAGAACGUCGUGAGACAGUUCGGUCCCUAUCUGCCGUGGGCGCUGGAGAACUGAGGGGGGCUGCUCCUAGUACGAGAGGACCGGAGUGGACGCAUCACUGGUGUUCGGGUUGUCAUGCCAAUGGCACUGCCCGGUAGCUAAAUGCGGAAGAGAUAAGUGCUGAAAGCAUCUAAGCACGAAACUUGCCCCGAGAUGAGUUCUCCCUGAGACUUAGAGUCUCCUGAAGGAACGUUGAAGACGACGACGUUGAUAGGCCGGGUGUGUAAGCGCAGCGAUGCGUUGAGCUAACCGGUACUAAUGAACCGUGAGGCUUAACCUU
This 2902-nucleotide ribosomal RNA is filed under the name Escherichia albertii. RNAcentral's name for it is "23S ribosomal RNA". It matches the Rfam family "Bacterial large subunit ribosomal RNA". The record is from RNAcentral. Lineage: Bacteria; Pseudomonadati; Pseudomonadota; Gammaproteobacteria; Enterobacterales; Enterobacteriaceae.